Molecule: ribosomal RNA, 517 nt
Filed under: uncultured Pseudomonadota bacterium
Lineage: Bacteria; Pseudomonadati; Pseudomonadota
Description: bacterial SSU rRNA
Rfam family: Bacterial small subunit ribosomal RNA
Source: RNAcentral
AAUAUUGGACAAUGGGCGAAAGCCUGAUCCAGCAAUGCCGCGUGAGUGAAGAAGGCCUUAGGGUGUAAGGCUCCUUCGCCCGCGACGAUGAUGACGGUAGCGGGAGAAGAAGCCCCGGCUAAUUCCGUGCCAGCAGCCGCGGUAAUACGGAAGGGGCUAGCGUUGUUCGGAAUCACUGGGCGUAAAGCGCGCGUAGGCGGCCGGUCAAGUGCGGCGUGAAAGUCCUGGGCUCAACCCGGGGACGGCGCUGCGGACUGUCCGGCUGGAGUCCGGAAGAGGGUGGUGGAAUUCCGAGUGUAGAGGUGAAAUUCGUAGAUAUUCGGAGGAACACCGGUGGCGAAGGCGGCCACCUGGUCCGGUACUGACGCUCAAGCGCGAAAGCGUGGGGAGCAAACAGGAUUAGAUACCCUGGUAGUCCACGCCGUAAACGAUGGGUGCUAGAUGUCGGGGGGCUUGCCCUUCGGUGUCGUAGCUAACGCGUUAAGCACCCCGCCUGGGGAGUACGGCCGCAAGGUUA